This 253-nucleotide ribosomal RNA is filed under the name uncultured bacterium. RNAcentral describes it as "partial 16S ribosomal RNA". It matches the Rfam family "Bacterial small subunit ribosomal RNA", at positions 524 to 776 of the family's 1533-position model. The record is from RNAcentral.
UACGAAGGGGGCAAGCGUUGUUCGGAAUCAUUGGGCGUAAAGCGCGUGUAGGCGGUCUAUUAAGUCGGGUGUGAAAUCCCUCGGCUCAACCAAGGAAGUGCAUUCGAAACUAAUAGACUAGAAGGUGGUAGAGGAUGGUGGAAUUCCAGGUGUAGAGGUGAAAUUCGUAGAUAUCUGGAGGAAUACCGGUGGCGAAGGCGGCCAUCUGGGCCACCCUUGACGCUGAGACGCGAAAGCGUGGGUAGCAAACAGG